Molecule: ribosomal RNA, 1210 nt
Filed under: Heteroptera sp. JMU-2006-1
Lineage: Eukaryota; Metazoa; Arthropoda; Insecta; Hemiptera
Description: SSU rRNA
Rfam family: Eukaryotic small subunit ribosomal RNA
Source: RNAcentral
CUGUCGGUGUAACUGGCAUGUCGCGGCAUGUCCUGUCGGUGGUGAACGAGAUCCCCGGUGCUAGCUUAGGCUUUUUAGUCUUUGUUGUGUGCCGUGCGUGUUUUCGUUUGCCGAUCUCUCCUACUCCGGUGCUCUUAAACGAGUGUCGAGGUAGGCCGACACGUUCACUUUGAACAAAUUAGAGUGCUUAAAGCAGGCUGAAAUAUCUGCCUGAAUAGUGGUGCAUGGAAUGAUAAAAUAGGACCUCGGUUCUAUUUUGUUGGUUUUAGGAAUAUGAGGUAAUGAUCAAUGUGGACUGGCGGGGGCAUUCGUAUUGCGACGUUAGAGGUGAAAUUCUUGGAUCGUCGCAAGACGCACUAGAGCGAAAGCAUUUGCCAAGUAUGUCUUAAUUGAUCAAGAACGAAAGUUAGAGGUUCGAAGGCGAUCAGAUACCGCCCUAGUUCUAACCAUAAACGAUGCCGGCCAGCGAUCCGCCGAUGUUCCUUUAAUGACUCGGCGGGGAGCUUCUACUCGGGAAACCAAAGCUUUUGGGUUCCGGGGGAAGUAUGGUUGCAAAGCUGAAACUUAAAGGAAUUGACGGAAGGGCACCACCAGGAGUGGAGCCUGCGGCUUAAUUUGACUCAACACGGGAAACCUCACUAGGCCAGGACAUUGGAAGGAUUGACAGAUUGAUAGCUCUUUCUUGAUUCAGUGGGUAGUGGUGCAUGGCCGUUCUUAGUUGGUGGAUCGAUUUGUCUGGUUAAUUCCGAUAACGAACGAGACUCUAGCCUAUUAACUAGACGAUCCCGGUAUCAAUGCUACCGGCGAUACUUAAUCUUCUUAAAGGGACAGGCGGCUUACAGCCGCACGAGAUUGAGCAAUAACAGGUCUGUGAUGCCCUUAGAUGUCCUGGGCCGCACGCGCGCUACACUGAAGGAAUCAGCGUGUCCUACCCUGGUCGCAAGGUCCGGGUAACCCGUUGAACCUCCUUCGUGCUAGGAAUUGGGGCUUGCAAUUGUUCCCCAUAAACGAGGAAUUCCCAGUAAGCGCGAGUCAUAAGCUCGCGUUGAUUACGUCCCUGCCCUUUGUACACACCGCCCGUCGCUACUACCGAUUGAAUGAUUUAGUGAGGUCUUCGGACCGGCGGUAAUCUUUAUUAACCUAGUUUAGUAUUGAUGUACGCUGGAAAGAUGACCAAACUUGAUCAUUUAGAGGAAGUAAAAGUCGUAAC